CCCGCCCUGCCUCCUGCGUGCGGCCGGGCCGAGCCCCUCGGGCUGCUCUUUAAACGUCGCGCGUGAGGGGAGGCGGGGCCAGGGGCCAGCCUGAGGGGUUAGCACCGUGCCGGCCUUCUCGAAUUUGCGGAGGCGCGCGCGGGGCUUGAGGCGUCUCCCGCUCGGACUCUCCGCAGGAGCCGCGGCUAUGGGGCCGCCCAUAAACUAGGAUUUCUCAAGCUUUUGGAGCUGAUGAACCUUGGGGGGGAUUAUGAAACAUUCCAUAAUCUGUCCAGACCUCCACUAAACAUGAGCAGAAGACUACAUAAGCUGUGAUCUGCAAGAGCAUUUACACCAAUUACAAAGCCAUUGAGAAAUCAGAGCACAAGACGCUGUUUCAGGUAUUGGUGACAGCCAGAAGCAGGAUGUCUGACCUGAUAAACAUUGUGCCACAGAAAACACAGGGUCCUGGAAAUUGAUAUGGAUUGAAACCUAUUCCGCACUGGAGCAAUGUUUCUGUAAGACCACUGAAAUUAAUUUCAGUUUUGUACUUGAAAAAAAGCACCCUCUCAUUUGUGCCCACCUAAAUUCUAUGACAUAUGCAGCUCUUUUGAAUACUUUAAUUUCUUCAUUCUGCACAUACUUAACAUUGUAUUUGUCUGAACUGUAUCCAGGAUACUGUCUUUAGCCUCUUUUCUUCCCACUCCCGUUGAUAUUGGUUUUGUUUCCUCAAGUCUAAAAAUGUCAACUAGACAUUAAAAUUAUGUUGGUUUGCACUACUGAAAUAGUGUUUUGAAAAGAAUAUUGAAGAGUUAAUGUCACGGGAUAGCAUGCUGCAGAGGAGCUCAGAAAUUUUGCAUAGUGUGGACUACCUCCCCAUCCACUGGUGAGCACGCAGACCAUUUCUUCCCAGAUUGGUGUUUGUUACACCCUUUGUGACAGCUGCAGCAAUUGCUUACAUGGGAAAGAGACGUUAGGAAGAAUUCAAAAUAUUUGAAGCUUCUUUUAAAGCAAUAUAGCACAUGCAGAGGAGACGCCUAUAUGUCAGCCCACUUGCUGCUGACCACUACAGAGGGCUGCUGCUGAUCCACAGACCAACUUACUGUAUUGUAAAUAAACAAUUUCACAUAGGGAGUGGGAGGUUGCCAUGUUUUAAAGAUAAAAAGCUAGUGUUGCUUAAUAUACAACUUGUUUAUGGUCACAGUAAUGAUAGCUGUACAAAUAGCUCUUGUAAAAUGCUUUUUAUCUGUAGAUCUCAAAGCUCUGUCUAUACUAGUACUCAGUUUUUACCUGUUCAGAGCAAGGUUUUGGAUAUGGUAGUAAACAUGCCUGAGCCAUUUCUGCACCAGUUCUCUCACUGUCAGGAGCUGAAAAAUAGGAGCUACUGUAGACCCUGACAGUCAGCAUUUUAUUCUUCACUCCGCUAUUAGUUGCAUGCAUGGAUCUAAACCUAAUGUUGUGAAACAGAGUUUGACCUGUUAAAUGGUAUUGCAAGUAUCCACGAUUCCAGUAUCCAGCUGCUGGCUGUAUUUCCCUUACUUAAGUUAGCAGCAGAAGAGUGGGUGCAGAAAAAGAUGCUCCGCACAGUGAUGUGUAACUACAUUGACUGGAAUUCAGAAGUGAACUAGUGAGUUGUACAAAGGCAUCAUCAAAAAGCUGAAGUCAAACACAUGCUUGAAAACCACCAAAUAUGAAGGGGAGCAUGUUUGUUCCAUGCAAAAAUCUUAAAAUAAAAUUAUUGCUUUUAUUUUUAUGAAGCAAACUUUUGUAGGCUGCUCAACCAUUUCUGCUAAUCUUAUGGCUACUCUAGGCUGUGCUAUUAUGAGAAAGCUUGGCAUUAUGUUUGUGGAAAUAGAACAUGAAGUCUCAGGACAUGCCAGUGAUGUAUUGAUAAGUAAAGGUAAGAUGCUUGAUGCAAACUUUUCACCUUUUUGCAAGGUGACUGCAGAAUUCAAAGAGCAGCAUAAGAAAGCGCAGACUGUAUGGUGUAGAUCGGUCAGUGGUGAAUGAUGGGCAGAUUGGUCUAAAAGUAAGACUACAAAUUAUGGGGGAGAUUUUCAAAAACACAAAUGGGAGUUUGGUACCCUGUGUGAUUUUGAAAAUCUCCCUCUGUUUUUACUAUAGAAGAACCCACUUCUUUUUGGUACAACACUAGCCAGAAGAUAGUUUGUGUUAAAUUAAGAGAAAGUGACAUUUUAGGCAACUGUAAUGCGAAGACUUUAAGGACCGCAUUGUUCUAGUCAGUCUGUACAGCUCAGUGAUAAAGAAAUGCUUGUUUUGGAAAAGAUUUUGACCUCAUUACUUUAUGCAACUGGUACGCUAAUGAAAGAGCAUGGAGAACUUUUGGGAACUGAUUAAAGGAGUUUGACUGCUCCAUGGGUAUUGCAAAACAUGAUGAUUUUAUAGCUUGAUAAUGCAUCAGCUCCCUCCCAGGUACUGAGGCUCAGAAAUGUGAAGAUGCACUUUUUACUACUUCACACCACCUUCAAGACUUAGCCACCUGAUGGUCAAACAAUUCAAAAUUUGAUAGCGCUGUAUCAUUGCCAACAGUUGCAAUACUGGGCCAAAGUCAAAUGCAAUUUAAUUAUUGGAGUAAAAUAGUCAUACUAUUUUUGCACUCACACCAUUGUAUAACUUCUAUUGAUUGGACGUUCAUAGAGGCUUGAUUCUGAUGUCAUGUGCACAGGUUUUAUACCUGUGUAAUUUCACUGCAUCCAUUUCAGUGGCACUACUCCUGAUUUACAAAAGCAUGUGAGAUCAGAAUUAUAUCCCCUGUGCAAAAAGGUACUCACCAGAAGAGAGUCAGUCAUUUUGCCCACCCACUUAAUGUCAAAUUGGUGCAAAUUACAUAUUUAAAAUAAAUUAUGGUUAGCAAGAGCAGGACUUUACAUUUUCAUUAGAUAAUUAACCUUCAUGGAACAGAUCCUCAGCUAGGCUAAGUUUGUGAUAGUUUGAGUGGCUUUGCUUGAGCUGUCACAAUUCAAUCCAACUGAGAAUCUGUGUGGAGUUUUGGCCCCAAAGGAGUAUUUUUCUGGAAAAAUUAUUUGUAUCUAAAAAUGGAGCUAUAUAAUGGAAACAAUUUUACAGUCUUAAUUAGGGCUUUUGCUUCAAUAAUAUAAUACAAAAUAUAGUUAACUGGAUUGUGCAAGCCUAGGGUAAUUGCUAGAGAUCUGGGAAUGUGAUGAGGUAUACAAACCUCACACUGGGCAAGCCCAGUAGCCCUGCCUCUUUAGAUCUGCAGAGCAUGCUCUAAAGAGAGGAAGCUUAAAUGCACCUCAGUCAGGGACGAAGACAGACCUACUCUGAGGGCUCCUGGACAAGGCUGCUGAAGAAGCCUCACCGAGAGGAAUAGAAGUGCAUGCUGAGCUGAAGGUUUGGUUAUCUUUUCUUUUGUUACCUUGUAUUGGACUUAGAGCCCUGGAAGAGAGACAGAUGGUAGGAAGGGUAACUCUGGUGCCAGACACGGUUGACUUACAUAGGGCCCUGAGUCUGAGCCUGCUGGAGGGGCAUAAGCCAUAUUUCAAUCUCACUCCCCCUUUGAUAAGAAGAGGGUGAGGACAUUGCAACCUGAGGUGAAGCUACACCUCAGGUGAGGAACUGGACUGAAAGGCCUUCCUGCUGAUAGGUGAUACUGGGUGCACCUUACCCUCCAUUACAUGGAGGAUUCCACUAAGUGGGACUCAUUUAAUUUUGAAGUGUGUAAAAAGAAUUAACCUCAUGCAGGUUAAGGAAAGGUAUUGUAAAUAAAUACCAGUCUUUAGAGAAACUUACAUCUCAGUCCUUUGUUAGCAUUCCACUUCAUAGUGUAAGAGAAUAUCAAGGCAGGAGAAGUUUACCAAAAUGUAAAUAUAUUCCAAUGUUCACCUGCUUGUUUUGCUUAAUAUUUAAUUACAAGGAUUUCCCUAAGGUAGCAAAUAGGCCUGCUUAAUUUGAUACUUUGAAGUCCAGUAAGUAUUUUGACAGUUAUGUGCAAUCAGGACAGGCCAUGGAUUAACAUAACAUCUCUUAAAAAGAAAACCAGGUUGUUUCAGCCAAAAAGGUCUCUGCAGACUUAUAACACAAGUAUUUAAUGUUUCUGCUGAACACCCGCAUAAGGACAUGACAUCAAGUUGCUGGCAUUUUUAAUUAUUAGAAAUGAUGCAUUUUAAAAUAAAGAAAAAGUUGAAUAAGUCCAAUUUGAUAUUUAUAAACAGUAAACAAACCAAAAAAAGAGGGUGAAAGGACUUCGUUUCUUGCCUCAUUUAGAAUAUUGUUAAUAUAGCAGGUCUCUAAUUAAUGUAAUAUUACAUAUCUUAUCUAACUGUGAUUUAAGGUAAUACCAGUAUGAUUUGAUUUGUCCCUCAAGGACUACUGAAAAUUAAGAACCAAUAGCAGUGCAUGUUGUGUUAGCCGCAAGACUUAUAAUUAUUAAUCCAGCCAAUAACUGAUUUUUUUUAUGAUGUAUGCAUGCAAGUAUAAAAUGAAAAAUAUACCUAACUGUAGAAUGUAGCAGUCCUAUGUGGCAUAUCCUUAGCCCUUGUCAAUGCUUAAUUUAUUUUUAAUACAUAUGCCUUUACUAUGUAAAAUCAGACAAUUGUUUAAAAAAAAUCCUUUACUUCCAGAAUAG
Trachemys scripta elegans is the source of this 4585-nucleotide long non-coding RNA. RefSeq lists it as uncharacterized. The record is from RefSeq and is a predicted model, not a curated record. NCBI's taxonomy places the organism in Eukaryota, Metazoa, Chordata, Testudines, Emydidae. The transcript has 4 exons.